Molecule: transfer RNA, 72 nt
Filed under: Canis lupus familiaris (dog)
Lineage: Eukaryota; Metazoa; Chordata; Mammalia; Carnivora; Canidae
Also listed under: 1 other name
Rfam family: tRNA
About the family: Transfer RNA (tRNA) molecules are approximately 80 nucleotides in length. Their secondary structure includes four short double-helical elements and three loops (D, anti-codon, and T loops). Further hydrogen bonds mediate the characteristic L-shaped molecular structure. tRNAs have two regions of fundamental functional importance: the anti-codon, which is responsible for specific mRNA codon recognition, and the 3' end, to which the tRNAs corresponding amino acid is attached (by aminoacyl-tRNA synthetases). tRNAs cope with the degeneracy of the genetic code in two manners: having more than one tRNA (with a specific anti-codon) for a particular amino acid; and 'wobble' base-pairing, i.e. permitting non-standard base-pairing at the 3rd anti-codon position.
Source: Rfam by way of RNAcentral
GCCUGGCUGGCUUAGUUAGUAAAGCAUGUGGCUUUUGAUCUCAGGUUAUAAGUUUGAGCCCUGUGUUGGGUG